UGGGGAAUAUUGGACAAUGGGCGAAAGCCUGAUCCAGCCAUGCCGCGUGAGUGACGAAGGCCUUAGGGUUGUAAAGCUCUUUUGGCGGGGAAGAUAAUGACGGUACCCGCAGAAUAAGCUCCGGCUAACUUCGUGCCAGCAGCCGCGGUAAUACGAAGGGAGCUAGCGUUGUUCGGAAUCACUGGGCGUAAAGCGCACGUAGGCGGAUUGUUUAGUCAGGGGUGAAAUCCCGGGGCUCAACCUCGGAACUGCCUCUGAUACUGCAAAUCUCGAGUCCGAUAGAGGUGAGUGGAAUUCCUAGUGUAGAGGUGAAAUUCGUAGAUAUUAGGAAGAACACCAGUGGCGAAGGCGGCUCACUGGAUCGGUACUGACGCUGAGGUGCGAAAGCGUGGGGAGCAAACAGGAUUAGAUACCCACGUAGUCCCUGAGCGGGCUGGCAAGGCGCAU
RNAcentral lists this ribosomal RNA (447 nucleotides) under uncultured bacterium. Its description in RNAcentral is "bacterial SSU rRNA". It matches the Rfam family "Bacterial small subunit ribosomal RNA", at positions 355 to 825 of the family's 1533-position model. The record is from RNAcentral.